RNA transcript from Gadus chalcogrammus (walleye pollock), 2505 nucleotides. RefSeq lists it as uncharacterized. NCBI's taxonomy places the organism in Eukaryota, Metazoa, Chordata, Actinopteri, Gadiformes, Gadidae. The record is from RefSeq and is a predicted model, not a curated record. The transcript has 4 exons.
AUUUCUCCGUAAUGAUGGACUCAAUGGAUAGACGCAACUAGCUGUUUCUGCUACAGAACUCCGCCACCAAAUAAAGAAGAGAAGGCAGAGUAUGGGUAUAGACUGCGCGCUGUUUACAAACAUACAGUUGAAGAAGAAACUAAGAACCGUAACCUAAGGAACAGCAGCCAUUUAAAACCUAAUAUUACCCCAACCUGAUAUUGGUGAAACACAACACUGCCAACGUUUAAUACAACGAGCUAUGUGUAAGACGGGUCAUUUUCAGGGACGUAAUGACUUCAAGACAGGGGUAGGAAUGCUUAUUGACUAUCAGGUAAUUUAAUCACAGGCUGGAGCCGUCAAAUAUCAAUUGCAACACUAGCUCUGGGUCCACUGGUGGAUCUAACGCCAUUAUUUACGGCUGUCAUCGCUCGACAUGAAAUCUGUCCCAAUCUGGCAACCGUGCCCAGAGCUAACUGUGUUGGCUAAAGUCCUUACCAUGGUUAUCAGCGCUAGCCCAGGAGGACAGCAGACCUUACCGUGAGGACAUAAACCGCUUCUGCUGGGUCUUGUUGGGCAGUCCACAGGCUAGACAUUGGAGCCGAGGUCUGGUCACCUCGAACCCGUAGCUGUUGUCAACAAUACUCAGUAUUCUGUGAGCUUGUCUCUUGUUUAAAGUGUUAACAGUGGCUAAUAACCCUCGACGUAGUGCGCAGGCGGCCAUCUUUAUCCUGUCUUCUCCACCGUGCACGGUCUGCUGUUCAUGUCCUCCACGCGCAGGAAUGCACACGGAGACGCGCGCACUGGAACCGCGCGGUCACGCGCAUGACGCAGCGAGAAACACAAACGCGAAUGUAUGAGUAAUGUUUUUUAUUGAGUUUAAUUACAUUUAAUGUUUGAUAUUUUGUACCCAUUCUCUAGGGUCUGAAAAGGAAUCAUUUACACAAAAACUACAACGUCUAAUCUAAGUAAGACAUUGAAGACCCGUUUGGUGUGAGGUCCGAAAUAAAAUAAAAACAGCUUCAUCAUAGUUUACUAAAAUCUCCCAUUGCACCUUUUCGAGAAAAAUGCCAGUGAACUCAGCAAAGAACAGAGGGAGUUUGCCAUCACAUUACACCUGCAUGGACCCAAGGCAUACCGCUACCUCAGAAACACGCUGCAACUUCCUCUCCCUCAUCCACGCUCAUUGCAGGAGGCUGGAAUAACAACCUAACUGCUGGAGAGUUCCAGGGUAUCUUCCACAAGCUCAUCAUGUAUAGAUGUGGUGUCAAGCCGGUGGAUUCUGGCAACGUGAGAGGACAGGAUGCCACUGUCACCCUGUCAGCUGAGCACUACACCAGAGUCUCCCUUUCCGCUGCUGAGAUGUCCUCUGCAGAUGCCGCCACUGCUGUAGAGCUGGUUUCUCCAUUCCUGAACAUUUCUGCCCUUGUAGGGAACCACAGCUACCUCCCAACUCGCUUUGGUGCUCUAGUAGACAACGCACUGGUCUACAUUGCUGGGUUCGUUGUCCGGUGUAUUUUUCGCAGCCUGUCCUGUGUUGUGUGCUGUUCCAGCCUGGUGACAGAUACUGUAGCUGUCCCAUUUGACCAGAGCUACCAUCUGCUGGAACUUCGUAAUAACGGUGGGCUGAUGAUUCCUUCAAAGGGAACUGUAAAGGUGGUGAGAGCUGCGGAGAGGGCAAUACGUCAACUGUCGUGGAAAUAUCAAUCAUAACUAUAAAUAUACAAUCACAUACAAAUUAUAUUAACCUUGUUUAUAUAAUUAUUACAUUCUAAGGAACUGUAUACAUUCUCCCUGUAACUUAAGUUAAUUCGUAUUCAAGCUCCCACUGGAGCCAGGAAGUCUGGUUUUGUGACCAGGCCAAUCGACUGACUUCUUUGUUGUGUAAACUCGUUUAGAGCCAAUUCUGUAGACAUGUCCAAUACCCACCCAUUGUAUUACAAAUUGACUUGUCCUAAGGUCACUCCCACUUCCUUCCCACAAUGUUAAUGUUCCCUAUAAGAAUCUUGUGAAUCUAUUGUCUCGUCGAAUGUGUUCUUGGUAAACUUUGCUGCCGGUACUUUUCCCAUGAUCAUGCUUUAAGAUUAAAUCAAAUAUUUCGCUGUCCGACGUGUCCGUGAGAGAACUUUCUCUUCAUCACUCUUCAGGGAAAGCCCCUGAUGUAGCCCACUUUGUCAGAGAGGAAAUCGGGACAGAGGACGUCUUUGCACUGGGGAGCCAUGUCCAAGAAAGCCAGUUUGGCAUUGACAAUCACCUGUCCCUCCUCCUGUCGCUGGUUGUCUCUGCCUAACGCGAAUACGGCUGCAUCAUAUCGCCAAAUUAACCUCGCUUACCUGGCAGAGAUGAAAUUCCCGAAAAAAACUCGAAAAAACCAUCCUGAUUCAGGGAUUUUCAAAACGACAGAUAUAGUUACAUAUAUAUAUAUAUAUAUAUAUAUAUAUAUAUAUAAAUAUAGUAUUAAAUGUAUAAUUGUAAACAUACUGUACCAAACUACCUUAGGAUUAUAAAUCAAUACAAAUUAUAUAU